ACGUGCUACAAUGGGUGGUACAAAGAGCAGCUAACUCGCGAGAGUAGUGCAAAUCUCAAAAAGCCAUCCUCAGUUCGGAUUGGAGUCUGCAACUCGACUCCAUGAAGUUGGAAUCGCUAGUAAUCGCGGAUCAGCAUGCCGCGGUGAAUACGUUCCCGGGCCUU
RNAcentral lists this ribosomal RNA (164 nucleotides) under uncultured Syntrophus sp. RNAcentral's name for it is "partial 16S ribosomal RNA". It matches the Rfam family "Bacterial small subunit ribosomal RNA", at positions 1220 to 1382 of the family's 1533-position model. The record is from RNAcentral. Lineage: Bacteria; Pseudomonadati; Thermodesulfobacteriota; Syntrophia; Syntrophales; Syntrophaceae.